AACCUGAGAGUGCUUACCAUAGACUGUGUUCUUCUACUGAUGGUACAGAAAAAGGAGGCAGAGUAAAUCUACCCAUAUACACCACAGCCCAGGCCCUUUGCCUGUAUUGUGAAUGGGGAGACAUGG
This is a small nucleolar RNA of Lynx canadensis (Canada lynx), 126 nucleotides long. Ensembl annotates it as small nucleolar RNA SNORA51. NCBI's taxonomy places the organism in Eukaryota, Metazoa, Chordata, Mammalia, Carnivora, Felidae. The record is from Ensembl.